UACAGAGGGUGCGAGCGUUAAUCGGAAUUACUGGGCGUAAAGGGCGUGUAGGUGGAUUUAUAAGUUUGAUGUGAAAGCCCCGGGCUUAACCUGGGAAUUGCGUUGAAGACUGUAAGACUAGAGUUGGACAGAGGGUAGUGGAAUUUCCGGUGUAGCGGUGAAAUGCGUAGAGAUCGGAAAGAACACCCGUGGCGAAGGCGGCUACCUGGGUUCAAACUGACACUGAGGCGCGAAAGCGUGGGGAGCGAACAGGAUUAGAUACCCUGGUAGUCCAUGCUGUAAACGAUGAGAACUGGAUGUGCGGGAGGUAUAAGCCUCUUGCGUAUCGAAGCUAACGCGUUAAGUUCUCCGCCUGGGGAGUACGGCCGCAAGGUUAAA
RNAcentral lists this ribosomal RNA (378 nucleotides) under uncultured bacterium. Its description in RNAcentral is "bacterial SSU rRNA". It matches the Rfam family "Bacterial small subunit ribosomal RNA", at positions 524 to 898 of the family's 1533-position model. The record is from RNAcentral.